Molecule: ribosomal RNA, 749 nt
Filed under: Rhizophagus intraradices
Lineage: Eukaryota; Fungi; Glomeromycota; Glomeromycetes; Glomerales; Glomeraceae
Description: SSU rRNA
Rfam family: Eukaryotic small subunit ribosomal RNA
Source: RNAcentral
AUGGUAGGAUAGAGGCCUACCAUGGUGGUAACGGGUAACGGGGUGUUAGGGCACGACACCGGAGAGGGAGCCUGAGAAACGGCUACCACAUCCAAGGAUGGCAGCAGGCGCGCAAAUUACCCAAUCCCGACACGGGGAGGUAGUGACAAUAAAUAACAAUACGGGGUUCUUUCGGAUCUCGUAAUUGGAAUGAGUACAAUUUAAAUCUCUUAACGAGGAACAAUUGGAGGGCAAGUCUGGUGCCAGCAGCCGCGGUAAUUCCAGCUCCAAUAGCGUAUAUUAAAGUUGUUGCAGUUAAAAAGCUCGUAGUUGAAUUUCGGGGUUAGUAGGUUGGUCAUGCCUCUGGUAUGUACUGGUCUCACUGAUUCCUCCUUCCUGAUGAACCGUAAUGCCAUUAAUUUGGUGUUGCGGGGAAUUUGGACUGUUACUUUGAAAAAAUUAGAGUGUUUAAAGCAAGCUAACGCUUGAAUACAUUAGCAUGGAAUAAUGAAAUAGGACGUUCGAUCCUAUUUUGUUGGUUUCUAGGAUUGACGUAAUGAUUAAUAGGGAUAGUUGGGGGCAUUAGUAUUCAAUUGUCAGAGGUGAAAUUCUUGGAUUUAUUGAAGACUAACUACUGCGAAAGCAUUUGCCAAGGAUGUUUUCAUUAAUCAAGAACGAAAGUUAGGGGAUCGAAGACGAUCAGAUACCGUCGUAGUCUUAACCAUAAACUAUGCCGACUAGGGAUCGGAUGAUGUUAAUUUUUUAAUGAC